RNAcentral lists this ribosomal RNA (450 nucleotides) under uncultured Glomeromycotina. Its description in RNAcentral is "SSU rRNA". It matches the Rfam family "Eukaryotic small subunit ribosomal RNA", at positions 569 to 1023 of the family's 1831-position model. Lineage: Eukaryota; Fungi; Glomeromycota. The record is from RNAcentral.
AGCAGCCGCGGUAAUUCCAGCUCCAAUAGCGUAUAUUAAAGUUGUUGCAGUUAAAAAGCUCGUAGUUGAAUUUCGGGGUUAGUAGGUUGGUCAUGCCUCUGGUAUGUACUGGUCUCACUGAUUCCUCCUUCCUGAUGAACCUUAAUGCCAUUUAUUUGGUGUUUUGGGGAAUUUGGACUGUUACUUUGAAAAAAUUAGAGUGUUUAAAGCAGGCUAACGCCUGAAUACAUUAGCAUGGAAUAAUGAAAUAGGACGUUCGAUCCUAUUUUGUUGGUUUCUAGGAUUGACGUAAUGAUUAAUAGGGAUAGUUGGGGGCAUUAGUAUUCAAUUGUCAGAGGUGAAAUUCUUGGAUUUAUUGAAGACUAACUACUGCGAAAGCAUUUGCCAAGGAUGUUUUCAUUAAUCAAGAACGAAAGUUAGGGGAUCGAAGACGAUCAGAUACCGUCGUAG